GACGAACGCUGGCGGCAUGCUUAACACAUGCAAGUCGAACGGGACGUCCCGGUCUAGGUGCGGACGGCUGGGUAAGAACUGGGAAGUAACCCUUGGGUUCGGUAUAACUCCCCGUGAGGUAUGCUAAGACCGGUUAGUGUCAUACGGGCUAGGAGUUGGCGCUUUGGGAUGGGGUCGGGUCAUAUUAGGUUGUUGGUGGGGGAGAGGCCUACCAAGGCCUUGAUGGGUAGCCGGUCUGAGAGGGUGAGCGGACACAGUGGGACUGAGAUACGGCCCAGACUCAUACGGGAGGCAGCAGUGGGGAAUAGUGCACUAUGGGCGGAAGCCAGAUGCAGCAACGCCGCGUGCGGGAUGACGGCCAUGGGGUUGUAAUCCGAUUUCGCCUGUGACGAAGCGUGAGUGACGGUAACGGGUAAAGAAGCACCGGCUAACUACGUG
RNAcentral lists this ribosomal RNA (438 nucleotides) under uncultured bacterium. RNAcentral describes it as "partial 16S ribosomal RNA". It matches the Rfam family "Bacterial small subunit ribosomal RNA", at positions 28 to 507 of the family's 1533-position model. The record is from RNAcentral.